AAAUACAUGCAAUGUUUCAAAAGCUUGAUUCAACAAAAAAAAAAUAUUGAUAGGAUAGGGAUACUACUCGUCCUAUCCUUACCUUAUUAUUGCUAGACUCCAUUAAAUAUUAAAGAACAACAACAAAUAAGCUUUAAUCCCAAACUAAUUGGGAUUAGCUAUGUGGAUUCUUUUUUCGCUAUUCAGCUCUAUUAAAAGGGGAGA
This 204-nucleotide unclassified non-coding RNA is filed under the name Hevea brasiliensis (rubber tree). The record is from RNAcentral. Lineage: Eukaryota; Viridiplantae; Streptophyta; Magnoliopsida; Malpighiales; Euphorbiaceae.